GAUUUUCAUGGGCAGUCAGAGGUUGUCAAUCUAGUCUAGCCAACAUUGAUCACCUUCUUAGGUUUGUUGCUUUCCCAAAUUAUACAGGCAAUUCUGGCAAUCCUGCCCNNNNNNNNCCAAGUCUGUUAAAGAGGAAGCUCAGAUGCCAGUAAAAUUAUCAAGGUAUCCAGUCAGAGUUGUGCUGUGUGCAUACAUGAUAAUAGGACACCCGGAUGCGGU
Molecule: unclassified non-coding RNA, 219 nt
Filed under: Hevea brasiliensis (rubber tree)
Lineage: Eukaryota; Viridiplantae; Streptophyta; Magnoliopsida; Malpighiales; Euphorbiaceae
Source: RNAcentral